CUUAUAAGAAGAUGUAUACUAGUAUUUGUCAAUAGAGGAUUCUGUUGAAGUUAUGAACUGAUAUGGAUUGGGAAAACCUAAGUUGUUUUCCAUAAGGAUUCUAAUAGGAAAUCCUCAUUCCAUUGUGAGAAGGGAUAUGUGUAUGUAUAUAUAUAGCGGCCUCUCCUCUCAUAGGAUUACGCUAUUUAAGAACUAAGCCAUAUUCUUAGUUUGAGUAAUUAGCAUCCUGACAGAGGGAAGAAGAGCUGAUGUGCAUUCAAGUUGAUCGUGGAUAACCAUAGCUGCAUCCAAUGGAAGUUCUUCAGAAUUCUUAUAUAAACUCUUGGGUCCAAAAUCAAAGUGAAGCAGUUGUUGUGUUAUUGACUGGUGAUCCGUGCAUUCUAGACUAUUUUUCGUUUGGGUUUUCAGCACCAAUUUUGACCAGUCCAUCCAUUCUGGGGAGAAAUGGAAUUGGCUAUCAUUGGCAGAUGUAACCACAAUGCAAAGAUGGAUUCAUACAAUAUGAAAACGCAUCAUGGUUUACAAAAUGGUUGAAAUGUAUUAGGUAUUACAACAAGAUGGAUUAAAUAAGUCCUCAGGUGAAUUCAAACCUAAUUAUUACUAACGAUACCAACUUUUUCAUACCAAAUUGUUCAGACCUACACUAUUGUUGACCCUAAAAACUACCAAGCCUAUGUGGCACGUAGACCGAGUAACUAAUUAGCUAACUACAUCAUUCGGUUGAUGCGGGCAUGCCAACUCAUCUGCCAAGCUUGGCUGAGGAGUAAAAUAUGUUGAUGUUACGUUGCGUGCGCUGCUAAUUUCUUGAUCUUGUGAUUGUGGCCGAGGAAGAAACACUCUCGACCUUCGGGUUCUAAAGCUUGAAGACAAAGCUGCUAGUUCUAUGAAGUUCACAAAUCGUCGACGUCGGAUUCAGUCACGAUGAUUAUAUUCGUAAGUGUAUAAGCACGCUAAAUCAACACCAGACUAUAUGGACACAAGUAUUCAAAGUAGAUGUACGUUUUGAUCAUAAAUGUGGUUUGGCCGUCAGAAUGCCGAACUCUAAAUCCAACUUGUGAGUAUCCAAUCAUAAAAUAACUCGGCGUUCAACGCACCAAGUCUGGUGAUUCGUAACACCUCACUUCAUCGAGAAGGUUCGUGAGAUGACCUCUGCUAAUAAGGAUUUGAAAACCCUUCUC
Malus domestica (apple) is the source of this 1178-nucleotide non-coding RNA. The record is from RefSeq and is a predicted model, not a curated record. Lineage: Eukaryota; Viridiplantae; Streptophyta; Magnoliopsida; Rosales; Rosaceae.